Leptonychotes weddellii (Weddell seal) is the source of this 106-nucleotide small nuclear RNA. NCBI's taxonomy places the organism in Eukaryota, Metazoa, Chordata, Mammalia, Carnivora, Phocidae. The record is from RefSeq and is a predicted model, not a curated record.
GUGCUGGCUUCAGCAGCACCCGUGCGAAAACUGGACCAAUACAGAGAAGAGGAGCAUGGCCCUGUGCAAGGACGACAUGCAGAUUCAUGAAGCAUUCCAUAUUUAG